This 1200-nucleotide ribosomal RNA is filed under the name Stutzerimonas nitrititolerans. Its description in RNAcentral is "partial 23S ribosomal RNA". It matches the Rfam family "Bacterial large subunit ribosomal RNA", at positions 558 to 1761 of the family's 2925-position model. The record is from RNAcentral. Lineage: Bacteria; Pseudomonadati; Pseudomonadota; Gammaproteobacteria; Pseudomonadales; Pseudomonadaceae.
GUGUGCUUACAAGUAGUCAGAGCCCGUUAAUGGGUGAUGGCGUGCCUUUUGUAGAAUGAACCGGCGAGUUACGAUUUGAUGCAAGGUUAAGCAGUAAAUGUGGAGCCGUAGCGAAAGCGAGUCUGAAUAGGGCGUUUAGUAUUUGGUCGUAGACCCGAAACCGGGUGAUCUACCCUUGGUCAGGUUGAAGUUCAGGUAACACUGAAUGGAGGACCGAACCGACUUACGUUGAAAAGUGAGCGGAUGAACUGAGGGUAGCGGAGAAAUUCCAAUCGAACCUGGAGAUAGCUGGUUCUCUCCGAAAUAGCUUUAGGGCUAGCCUCAAGUGAUGAUUAUUGGAGGUAGAGCACUGUUUGGACGAGGGGCCCCUCUCGGGUUACCGAAUUCAGACAAACUCCGAAUGCCAAUUAAUUUAACUUGGGAGUCAGAACAUGGGUGAUAAGGUCCGUGUUCGAAAGGGAAACAGCCCAGACCACCAGCUAAGGUCCCAAAAUAUAUGUUAAGUGGAAAAGGAUGUGGCGUUGCCCAGACAACUAGGAUGUUGGCUUAGAAGCAGCCAUCAUUUAAAGAGUGCGUAAUAGCUCACUAGUCGAGUGACACUGCGCCGAAAAUGUACCGGGGCUAUACAUAUUACCGAAGCUGUGGAUUGUCCUUUGGACAAUGGUAGGAGAGCGUUCUAAGGGCGUUGAAGCAUGAUCGUAAGGACAUGUGGAGCGCUUAGAAGUGAGAAUGCCGGUGUGAGUAGCGAAAGACGGGUGAGAAUCCCGUCCACCGAUUGACUAAGGUUUCCAGAGGAAGGCUCGUCCGCUCUGGGUUAGUCGGGUCCUAAGCUGAGGCCGACAGGCGUAGGCGAUGGAUAACAGGUUGAUAUUCCUGUACCACCUAUAAUCGUUUUAAUCGAUGGGGGGACGCAGUAGGAUAGGCGAAGCGUGCGAUUGGAUUGCACGUCUAAGCAGUAAGGCUGAGUAUUAGGCAAAUCCGGUACUCGUUAAGGCUGAGCUGUGAUGGGGAGAAGACAUUGUGUCUUCGAGUCGUUGAUUUCACACUGCCGAGAAAAGCCUCUAGAUAGAAAAUAGGUGCCCGUACCGCAAACCGACACAGGUAGUCAAGAUGAGAAUUCUAAGGUGAGCGAGCGAACUCUCGUUAAGGAACUCGGCAAAAUGACCCCGUAACUUCGGGAGAAGGGGUGCUCUUUAGGGU